Molecule: ribosomal RNA, 253 nt
Filed under: uncultured bacterium
Lineage: Bacteria
Description: partial 16S ribosomal RNA
Rfam family: Bacterial small subunit ribosomal RNA
Source: RNAcentral
UACAGAGGUGGCAAGCGUUGCUCGGGAUCACUGGGCUUAAAGGGCGCGUAGGCGGUGCGGUACGGUUUCGGUGAAAUCCCUCGGCCCAACCGAGGAACAGCCGGAGCUACGGCCGGACUAGACGGCAUCAGGGGACAGUGGAACUCCCGGUGGAGCGGUGAAAUGCGUAGAUAUCUGAAGGAACAUCAGUGGCGAAAGCGACUUCCUGGACCAAUACUGACGCUCAUGUGCGAAAGCGUGGGGAGCAAACAGG